Molecule: long non-coding RNA, 601 nt
Filed under: Hordeum vulgare
Lineage: Eukaryota; Viridiplantae; Streptophyta; Magnoliopsida; Poales; Poaceae
Description: long non-coding RNA (HVUL_LNC013570)
Source: RNAcentral
UUAUUGACUAGUAAUUUAGGAACGUGCCCAACUGCCAGAUUUAAUGUUUCGUGAACUGCUCUUGUUGCAACUGAGCGUGUGAUCCUGGAGCAUUAGGUAUGCUUUAGAGGAUGCACUCACAGGCUGCACGUUUUAAAAACCGGAGUGUACUAUUGACCGCAAACUCUGUUAAUUCGUUUAUGGAAUCUGUGUAAACCCCUUCCGAAAAAUAAGCACUCCAGGAUGUGUACCUGUUAACUCUGGUCUUAAAUGGGAAGGCAUUUAUUGACUAGUAAAUUAGGAACGUGCCAAACUGCCACUAGGAGAAUAUGCUUACACAGUUAUGCAUUACGUAAAAAGAAGUCGAGAACACAAUGAAGAGUGGGCUUGUACCACACAAAUCUAAUAAUAGUCAACUCCAGCUAGUUGACUUUGCAAUGAUAUAUUAGUGGUCCUGAGGUUAUCAAAUUGAAAUUUAUUGUUAAGAGGGUAGGUAGAACUGUUUCAUGGUAUGCUCGGAAUCAACAGUUUGUAUUGUAAUCUGUGACUGUACCUUUUGAUGCCUGGCCAAGCAUGUAUAUGCAACACGUUUUGUGUAUGGUAUAUGAAAGUUCUACUGGAU